RNAcentral lists this long non-coding RNA (2009 nucleotides) under Theobroma cacao (cacao). RNAcentral's name for it is "long non-coding RNA (TCAC_LNC004692)". Lineage: Eukaryota; Viridiplantae; Streptophyta; Magnoliopsida; Malvales; Malvaceae. The record is from RNAcentral.
AUGACUUCAUGGGCAUGAUGUUGUCGCUUCUUAACGAUGCUGCAGAGCUCCCUAGCUAUGACGCUGAUACAAUCAACAAAGCCACAUGCCUGGUGAGUUCUUACCUAACUUUUGUUUCAGAAUCACAUCUUUUCCUGUUUGCUUUUCUGGUUAAUCACAAGACCACUCCAAUCAAGAUCCAACUCAAUUGUCCGACUAUAACCAGAACCGGGACCAAUCAAGGGUCCAUUUGUUUUGCAUUAAAAUAUUUUUAAAAAAUAUUUUUAAGACUUAUAUUUGUUUAGCAGACGAAAAAUUAAUUUUAGAUGUAAAAGAUUUUACGAAUCAAUAAAGUUAAUCAUAAAAAAUAUCUUACGCUAUUGAAAGACGUAAAACAUUUUUUAUAAAACAAUAAAAACACUUUUAUAUUAAGUUUAUGAGUAUAAGUUUGAUAAAUAUUAAUAUUUAAAUUAUACAAAAUAAUUAAAAUUAAAANUGAUGUUAAAUAUUUUUAAAAAAAUAUUUUAAGACUUAUAUUUGUUUAGCAGACGAAAAAUUAAUUUUAGAUGCAAAAUAUUUUACAAGUCAACAAGAGUUAAUUAUAGAAAAUGUCUUACACCCUGGAAGAGUGUAAAACAUUUUUCAGAAAACAACAAAAAUACUUUUAUAUUAAGUUUAUGAGUAUAAGUUUGAUAAAUAUUAAUAUUUAAAUUAAAAUAUCUAAAAUUGAAAAAUAAUAUUUUGAUGAAACCAUUUAAUACAAUUAAAUAUUUUAUUUAUAAAUAGAAUAAAUCUAACUAAUAAUUACAAUAAAAAAAAUUUCAAUGAUCAUCAUUUGAUGAAUACACAUUUAUAAUAAAUUUAAAUCUUACUAAUAAUUAUAAUAAAAUAUUUAAUAAUUAUUUUUUAAUGAAUACAUAUUUAUAAGUAUAAAUUUUAAAUAUCUUACACAAUUGAUGAAUAUUUAUAUUUUUAUAGCUAUGAUAAAAAAGUGAUAAGAUGGAAAUUUUUUGAAAAUUAGAGUUUAUUUUUAUUAUAGAUUUAUGGUUAAAUUUUUGAGAAAUAUCAUUAUUGAUUUUAUCCAUUUUCAUUUCCAUUCUUAAUUUUGAUCCCAAAUUAGUGAAUAUCAAAUAUCAAUAUUAUUUUUUAUUCAACUCUCAUUUAUUAUUUAACACCUAAAUAACUCCACCAUGAUGAAAAAUAUUUUUCACAAAAUGAUCUAAACAAUAGAAAAUGUUUUCGACAGUUGAUCUAAACAACAAAAAAUAUUAAAUUUCUCUGUAAAACAUUUUACCCAGAAAAAAUUUGUCUCUAGCAAGUCAUUUUUUGGUUACCAUACGGAUCCCAAAACUCAAAAACAGAACACAACCACAAGUCAAAGAAGUUACCAUCACAAACCAUGUGGCCAUAACAUUUGCUUAUACAGAAGAGAAGAACCCACUCACAAGUUAAUUACCUGCAAAAGAUUUCCCAGCUUUGGCAAGAGCAUCCGCCAGAUCGUUGGCAACUCGAGAAACCAAAUGCCCACUUGAGUUUUAGUACUUUCACUGCCUAGAAUUCCUUCAAUCAUGUCAUCUAACCUUUACUCACCGAGUAAUUCUUAUUUUGAUAAAAUCAAAUAAUUGAAAAAAUACCCAAACAUUUGACAUUGAACAACAUGUCAAAUCUACGAAGCCAAAUAAAUCAAAUGAUGAUGACAAAUAACACCAUAUAUAUUCUACUCGUCGCCUAUCUUGUUUGAAAAAGCAACGUUCCCUGUUGCACCACAACGAUUGAUUAACAUACAUUCAAUCUCUUGUUUUCACACCAAACAGAUGGUCAAGUUGCUAUCCAGUACUAACUCCUCUUUCAGGGACCACUUUAAUUUCCUUGAGGGAAUUAUUUAACACCAUUAAUCUUUUCCCCCUAAACAUACGGAAAAUUGUCGGCCAAGCUUCUUAAUUAACGUAUCUCAUCGUCCAAGCAAGGAUUGAAGAUAAAGCUAAAACUAGAUGGCUUCCAAAUUGCAUUCUAAAUCCCAUGAUAUAGAG